CCCACAUAAGCCUGUGCUCUCCAAGUCAUCCUGACAGAGUCCAUGCUCCCUAGAACCACAGCGAGUCAGUGUUCCUCCUUCCAGUUGUUCUUUCAGAGCAUGGCUAUGGCUGAUCACUACUGACAUCCAGGAGAUACAAACUACUGGGAGGAUUACCACCAGCAGUACCUGAGCAAGAACCCCAAUGGUCACUGAGGAACGCCAGCUGAGGACACUGUGAGAAGUUGGCCAUGUGCAAGCCAGGAAGAGGGCCCUCACCAGGAACAGAAUAAUCUGGCACCUUGAUCUCAGACUUCUAGCCUCUAAAACUGGCUGGCCCUUGAGAUCACAGCAGAAACGCUUUCAACAAACCGGGCAAGUCUUUUGUGGUUCACAUCAGUGGCUUUUCGAAG
Molecule: long non-coding RNA, 392 nt
Organism: Prionailurus viverrinus (fishing cat)
Lineage: Eukaryota; Metazoa; Chordata; Mammalia; Carnivora; Felidae
Exons: 4
Source: RefSeq, a predicted model, not a curated record